This 253-nucleotide ribosomal RNA is filed under the name uncultured bacterium. Its description in RNAcentral is "partial 16S ribosomal RNA". It matches the Rfam family "Bacterial small subunit ribosomal RNA", at positions 524 to 776 of the family's 1533-position model. The record is from RNAcentral.
UACGUAGGGUGCGAGCGUUGUCCGGAAUUAUUGGGCGUAAAGAGCUUGUAGGCGGUCUGUCGCGUCUGCUGUGAAAACUCGGGGCUCAACUCCGAGCUUGCAUUCGAUACGGGCAGGCUAGAGUUCGGUAGGGGAGACUGGAAUUCCUGGUGUAGCGGUGAAAUGCGCAGAUAUCAGGAGGAACACCGGUGGCGAAGGCGGUUCUCUGGGCCUGUACUGACGCUGAGGAACGAAAGCGUGGGGAGCGAACAGG